CCAGGAUUCCCGAAUUCUACUAAACACAAUUCUAAUGGAAAGUGUGGAAAAACCCAAGUUACUUCCAUAAUCCUGACAAAUAUGACACUAGUUAAACAUCCAGUUGCUACAUCCUCUUAUGCCAGACAAAGAAUGUUCAGGUCAUUUAAGGAUGGAUUUGCAUUCUUAUGAUUUAUUUCUGACUUUUAAAUUUAUUUUAUGUAGGACAGAGGUAAUAGCUAAUUGAAAACCAUUUUCUCUACCUUCUUUUGGACUGGACCCAUAAUACCAUCUUUCCUCUUGUCAAGCAUUUCUCCAAAGAAAAAACCUUCAGAAGGAAAUCCCGCCUGACCCGACUUUUGGCUCUAGCCUUCGAAGCACACCCCCUUCCUGGCUACCCUCUAUAAAUCCACCGUAUUUUCAGUUGUUUUUUGUUUAGAAGUGGAUUCAUCUUGUUAAGUUUACACAGAUUUUGCUCUUGCUAAAAGCUCUUUUUUCAAGAAUAUGGGGUGGAUACCCCAAACCUU
Molecule: long non-coding RNA, 506 nt
Organism: Polypterus senegalus (gray bichir)
Lineage: Eukaryota; Metazoa; Chordata; Cladistia; Polypteriformes; Polypteridae
Exons: 2
Source: RefSeq, a predicted model, not a curated record